UGGAUCCAGACUUUGAUCAUGGCUCAGGAUGAACGCUGGCGGCGUGCCUAACACAUGCAAGUCGAACGAAGCUUUUUAUGGAUUUCUUCGGAAUGAAGUAAGAAUGACUUAGUGGCGGACGGGUGAGUAAUGCGUGAGCAACCUGCCUUUCAGAGGGGGAUAACAGUUGGAAACGACUGCUAAUACCGCAUAACGUGCGAAGACCGCAUGGUCUUUGUACCAAAACUGAGGUGCUGAAAGAUGGGCUCACGUCCGAUUAGAUAGUUGGUGAGGUAACGGCUCACCAAGUCGACGAUCGGUAGCCGGACUGAGAGGUUGAACGGCCACAUUGGGACUGAGACACGGCCCAGACUCCUACGGGAGGCAGCAGUGGGGAAUAUUGCACAAUGGGCGAAAGCCUGAUGCAGCAACGCCGCGUGAGGGAAGACGGUCUUCGGAUUGUAAACCUCUGUCUUUAGUGAAGAAGACAGUGACGGUAGCUAAAGAGGAAGCCACGGCUAACUACGUGCCAGCAGCCGCGGUAAUACGUAGGUGGCAAGCGUUAUCCGGAAUUACUGGGUGUAAAGGGAGCGCAGGCGGGACUGCAAGUUGGAUGUGAAAUACCGCAGCUUAACUGCGGAGCUGCAUCCAAAACUGUAGUUCUUGAGUGAAGUAGAGGUAGGCGGAAUUCCGAGUGUAGCGGUGAAAUGCGUAGAUAUUCGGAGGAACACCGGUGGCGAAGGCGGCCUACUGGGCUUUUACUGACGCUGAGCCUCGAAAGUGUGGGGAGCAAACAGGAUUAGAUACCCUGGUAGUCCACACUGUAAACGAUGAUUGCUAGGUGUGGGGAGUAUUGACCCUCUCUGUGCCGGAGUUAACGCAAUAAGCAAUCCACCUGGGGAGUACGGCCGCAAGGUUGCAACUCAAAGGAAUUGACGGA
Molecule: ribosomal RNA, 919 nt
Filed under: uncultured Bacillota bacterium
Lineage: Bacteria; Bacillati; Bacillota
Description: bacterial SSU rRNA
Rfam family: Bacterial small subunit ribosomal RNA
Source: RNAcentral